Molecule: ribosomal RNA, 440 nt
Filed under: uncultured bacterium
Lineage: Bacteria
Description: partial 16S ribosomal RNA
Rfam family: Bacterial small subunit ribosomal RNA
Source: RNAcentral
CCUACGGGUGGCAGCAGUCGAGAAUCUUUCACAAUGGGGGAAACCCUGAUGCUGCGACGCCGCGUGGGGGAUUGAAGUUUUCCGGUUGUAAACUCCUUGUGAUGGAGGAGCUAAUUACGGUGUCUGACGAAUAAGCAGCAGCUACCUCCGUGCCAGCAGCCGCGGUCAUACGGAGGGAGCAAGCGUUAUUCGGGAUCACUGGGCGUAAAGAGCGCGUAGGCGGGAUCGUAAGUCAGAUGUGAAAUCCGAUGGCUUAACCAUAGAACGGCACAUGAAACUGUUAGUCUAGAGUAGGGGAGAGGGAGGCGGAAUUCUCGGUGUAGGAGUAAAAUCCGUAGAGAUCGAGAGGAAUACUCGUUGCGAAGGCGAGUUGCUAGAACAUAACUGACGCUGAUGCGCGAAGGCCAGGGGAGCAAACGGGAUUAGAUACCCGAGUAGUC